Molecule: non-coding RNA, 3274 nt
Organism: Microcebus murinus (gray mouse lemur)
Lineage: Eukaryota; Metazoa; Chordata; Mammalia; Primates; Cheirogaleidae
Source: RefSeq, a predicted model, not a curated record
AUGGAGCGAGACCUUGUCUCCAAAAAAAAACAAAGUAUAAGGGUAGGAUAUGUGUAUUUUAUAUGCAAACACUGUAUCCUUUUAUAUCAGGAACUUGAGCAUGUGUGGAUUUUGGUAUCCUUGGGGGGUCCUGGAACCAGUCCUUGAAAGAUACUAAGGGAUGAUGAGUGUACGCUAAAAAUGUCUGGCCACAAAGGAAACAUCAAUAUCCUGUCUUUGUAAGUCUGUGACCUUUUGGAUGGAAUCUCUGAAAAAUGUGUAAAUGAUAUUAAAUAGUUUCACAACAGUGUGUGCUGAUGUGUAGGAGUAUAAAAGCAUCCUUGGGUUUUGAUACAAAAACCUUCUUAUGAAACAUGAAGCGAACCACCAAAAAUAUAAAUCCCACUAGUGGGGCAGGAGGGAAUACUUAGUUUUUGGAAGUGAAGUUACUUCCUUGUCCCUGAGGCAGCAUAUAUUGUUUCAGUAAUCCCUUCCUAAACGAGAUCCAAGAACAGUUAAUGCAGUCUCUAACAGGUUAGGCUAAAUGUGUUGAAAGGAUCAAGCCCAUUGUGUUGUGUCUCCUGACUUUUGAUUUCCUACAACUCUUGUGGAUAUAGUUGGAAUUUUUUAAGGAAGAUGGGUGUCCUAGUUUUGAGAGAGGACUGUUGAGGAAGGGAGCUGUCAGAACACGAAGAGCUUUCAGCCUGGGUAGAUACAAAUUAGCAAGAAGCAUGAAGAUUAAGUGCUAAGAGGUUGAAAAAUGAUAGUGUUUCAGCUCAAUAGAAUCUUAUUGUUAAAAAUAUAAUGUAUCUGCAGAUCUGAAGACUAUAAAAGCAUGACAUGGUAGCCCCAAAUUAUGGAAAGAAUAGAGCUUCUUAAGAAGACACUCUUCCCAGCUGUUUUACAGUGUGAUGUAAAAUGAUGUAUCCCACACAAUGGUCUGCAAACCUCAUUUUGUAGUUCCAUUGUAAAAGAUAAUAUGGUGUGAGUGAGGCUGAGAUAGCCAAAAAUUCACUGCUCUUUAGAGAAGUGUGCCAUUUAAUUCCACUAAAGAUAAAGCAAUUGGAACAAGUAACCUUUUCCCCCAGCUUAGAUGGGGUUGUAGCUUUCAAAAAUGAGCCUUCUCUCUUGCCAAAUGCAAACAAGAAGACUGAUCUUUUCUCAGAGGAACACCAGAUAUCAAAUGCAAUUAAGAAUAAAAGUGAGACUCCCUUUCAAUCUAGAAGACAAUUAGUCCAAACUUCUUAUUCUAAAUGAAAGUAAAAUGUAGAUUUCAUGGCAAUUAUCACCAUAAGAGGUCAAGAGAUACCUAAAUUUCUGUUGCGCAGGAUUAUAUCUGGGACAUGUGUUGUGAUGGUUUCUGGUUUACUUCUCUUUGUCUUUUAUUUAUGGUUAAUUCGUGUAAUCUCAGUUCUAGGCAGAGUUUAUGUUCUAGUCUUCUAAAAUGAGGCUGGUGUUCAUCCUUCAUUCUUAUGUACCAGUUUCAUAGAAAACUGUGAAGCAUUUUCCCGUGGAAUUUGGAGGACAGCUCAAGGUCAUGGCUGACAAUGAUAGACAGAUGCUUAACAUGGUGUCUUUGAUCCCUGACUCACAUUGGGGGUUAGGACUCCAACACCUGAAUUUGGGUUGCGAGUGGGGCAGACAUAAGCAUUCAGUUCAUAACACUGGUUGGUGAUAUUUUUGUUAGGAUCAGUUAUUAUAUAUCACCAGUCUCAGAAAGCAGGACGCUGAGGGAGUGGUGCUCAUACAGGUGUGUUUCCAUUUGUGGCAGGUGCCAGGAGACAGCCAAGAGGACAUUGGAGGAGUUCUGGGCUGCUGGUGGCACCCGGCUAAUAAGGAGCCAUAAUGAUGGAACCCAAAUGGAAGAAUUGGACCAAAAGCAAGGAAGCCUUCAGGCUUGGUGAAAUUGACCAAAAUGUGAAGUACGAGAAGUCCUUGCAAAUAGUGUGGCCAUUUCUUCUCAGACAUUGGACAUCUUACAUCUGUUAUCUGGUUUACCAUCCAUCCACUUCUUUGCUCCAGCUGCAGGUCCAGAACUCUUUUUCCUAUCAUUGUUCUUGACUAAUGUUAUGUACAUUAAAAAAAAAUAAAUGUAAAUUAAUUAAAAUAAUUUUAAAAUACAUAUCUCUAAGUGUAUGAGCAUAAUUUUUUGCUUUUUCUAACCUUUUCCUUGCAGGUCAAAAGGAUUAAACCUGAGUGUGAUGUGUGUGUAUAUGAAAACUGAAUGCGCUAUAUAGGUUCAGAUGAGCAAGGAAGUUGUUUAGUAACAUUGAACAGUCCUGUUCUUGACUGUGCUGUCAUCAUUUGCAUUUUCAAAUCAGCAUGUGUCCAGCCUUAGGACAGUGCUACUAUUAUCGUCGGUGGAUUUUGCAAUGUAAGCUUGACUCAUUCAGUGAACCACACAGAAUCACCUAAGGCCAGAUACCCAGUCUACAGGAAUUCCCUUUCAACCGUUGAGAGCCUCAUCCUUCUUUAAGAUCCCCUUAAAAAUUCUCGAUUCCUUGAAUAUAGAAUUAUUUGUACUUAUCAAUGAAGCAAUAAUGUCGUAAUGAUCCCCAUGCUCCACCAUCUCCAAGGAAUUAGAGAAAUCUAGUACCGUAUCUAUGAGCAGCAGUAAACCCUGUGUUUUGCUUUCUCUUAGAACAAGCCUGGCAGACUGUUCCAGAAUACACUUGCAGAGCUUGGGCACGUGGUGGGGGUUUGGCAGCACGGAAUGAGGUUAGAAACGGGUGUACAGAGUGUCUGGUGUCAGAGCAUUUCCAUUCAAACUCAGGGCUGAGCUGCCUCCCAAUAAUCCAAGUUGUUCUUACACUAUCUGACAACUUGCAUAGGACCUCUUUCAUUCAGCACAGAAAAUGGUGACAGUGCUGUUCCUUUUGUUUAAAAAGAAGCAAAACUAAGAGGCAAAGCAGCUACAGAAGCUUUAACUAAAGAAGUCAUCCAUCUAUUCGAAAACACGCCAUUCGCUACCGUAGACUUGUGUGGUCUGAUUGCAUCUGAUGUUACACUGUAAUUUUUUUUUUUUUUUUUUUUGGUAAAUCAGAAAUACUUUCCCAGUGUGUGUUAGUUUAAACAUAAGUCACCAACAUUUGUUUAUUAAGCAUUAACUUUAAAAUGGGCCCCAGGAGUAUGGAAAUGAAUAAGACAUGGUUCCUAACCUCCAGUAGCUCACAUCAAAAGAUGUUUCCAUGAUAAUAAUAACUAGCAUUUAUUAGACACCAACUGUAUGUCUCCUCAGGUAUAUUAUUUAAUUUUGACACAACCUUGGGAAAUAUUCUUAUUCUCUCUCUCUCUC